AUGAAACUACAAUGCAAGAUAUGUGAAAAAUUCAAGAACUGCUUCCUACUGAAAACUGACUUCAGUUUAAAUACCUGUAAUAAGAACACUUUGGAACAACUCAAAGCAUGUUUCACCCAUCUGACAAGGUAUUUAAAUUUCAGACAGUAUUUUAGUUCACAAAGUAAGCUUAUUUGUUCUUUUGGGGCUAAGAAGACAAUAAAAAAAAUGGAUAUAUAUUUUUAUAUUAUAAAUAAUUGGCUUAUUUUGCUUUUCUGACCAUUUACUGUGGGACUCGAGUGCAUUUGGUUCUAAUCUUUUGUCAAAAGAAGAGAGAGAUAGAUGUGAAAACCAUCAACAGGACUAUGCAAAGAUGUCAAAAAAUAUAUCUGUGUGAAACAGUAAGAUGCAUAAGAAAAAUCUUGGAUUUGUUUGUUUGUUUCAAAUACUCACUCCACCCCCCCACCCCCAUUUUCAAUUUAGAUAGCCAUAGGUUUUGCUUUUAAAUUUUAAAAAAAUUGAGUUCCAUACUUUUUUUUUCAGUUAGGAGCAAAAUUUAGUUAUGAAGUCAAGUAUCUCAGAUAUAAUCACAAUUAUUUAUAAACAAAUGACUGUGAGAUCUGAAUAACAGAAAUACAAUGACUGUUUUUUUGCUUUGGUUUGGUUUUUUUUCUCCUCUUGUUUCUCUUUCUGGCUUGUGGUAAUUCUUCACUGCCCUGCCUCCAAUUAAAGGAAGAAAGGGACUUGUAGAUGUGGUAAAGUUCCUAAUGUGGACAAAUUUACAGCUGGUGGAAGAGACUGUAUGACAGGUGGAGAGAACAAAAUCCAACUAUUUUGUAACUGAAUCUUUCAGGGCAUAACCUGACAUAAAUGCAUUGGAAUCAGUGUCUGAGUUAAAGACAGUCUCCUCCAAAACAGCUUUUAAAACAUAACCAGAAAUUAAACGGGCUCAUUUAAGGUCCUCAAAAAAUCUCAUUAGAGGGGAACCACCUGCUGUUGGGGGAAAUGUAAUUUCCUCCAGGAUUUUUUCUAUACCCUGGCUGACUGCUGGAGACUGAUAAAUCUGGAUCUCUGCACAAAAUGCAGGGAAACUUAAGCAGACAUGGAAAUGUGUCUAACUCCUCAGCAGGGCAAGUCAUAGCCUUCUUGCAAUCAUGCUUUACCACUAGCUGAAUCUAAUUUUCUGUUCACCAUCACCCUUGAAGAAAGCUUGGGAUGUUAGCUUUUCUACCUUUCCCCUGAAUGUAUAUAGUUCAGACUAGCUAUUAAAGCUAUAAUA
RNAcentral lists this long non-coding RNA (1258 nucleotides) under Cyanistes caeruleus (blue tit). RNAcentral describes it as "lncRNA (ENSCCEG00000012702.1)". The record is from RNAcentral. Lineage: Eukaryota; Metazoa; Chordata; Aves; Passeriformes; Paridae.